GAGUCCCCCGAGGCCCGCCCUCAGCGUGUCUUAUUCCAUUUUGAAGUCCCUGCCAUGCGGCAACACCUCGGUCACCUCACCACGGGCGGAAGUAGAAGGGUCCCGUUCCGCCAGCAGGGAGCGGCAGAGUUGCACUCAGUCAAGCCAUACCUUUCUCAUCCUCCAAUGCCCCAGUGGGGGUCAGCCUGACUAGGAAGUCACUCCCUCCCUCGUGCCAGAGCUGGCCUCUCUUGACUGCCUAUUGUCUAAUUCUUCCUGGACACAGCUUCUCUCUGAUGACUACAAAGUUGCAAAUGUCUGAGGUGCAUAGCUCCUGUAUUUCCCAAGAUGGCUACACAAAUAAAAGAACCAGGGUGGGACCCAUAGUCUAGCAGGAAA
RNAcentral lists this long non-coding RNA (378 nucleotides) under Mus caroli (Ryukyu mouse). Its description in RNAcentral is "lncRNA (MGP_CAROLIEiJ_G0006151.1)". The record is from RNAcentral. Lineage: Eukaryota; Metazoa; Chordata; Mammalia; Rodentia; Muridae.